GUAGGGAAUCUUGCGCAAUGGGCGAAAGCCUGACGCAGCCAUGCCGCGUGAAUGAUGAAGGUCUUAGGAUUGUAAAAUUCUUUCACCGGGGACGAUAAUGACGGUACCCGGAGAAGAAGCCCCGGCUAACUUCGUGCCAGCAGCCGCGGUAAUACGAAGGGGGCUAGCGUUGCUCGGAAUUACUGGGCGUAAAGGGAGCGUAGGCGGAUAGUUUAGUCAGAGGUGAAAGCCCAGGGCUCAACCUUGGAAUUGCCUUUGAUACUGGCUAUCUUGAGUAUGGAAGAGGUAUGUGGAACUCCGAGUGUAGAGGUGAAAUUCGUAGAUAUUCGGAAGAACACCAGUGGCGAAGGCGACAUACUGGUCCAUUACUGACGCUGAGGCUCGAAAGCGUGGGGAGCAAACAGGAUUAGAUACCCUGGUAUCC
This 424-nucleotide ribosomal RNA is filed under the name uncultured bacterium. RNAcentral describes it as "partial 16S ribosomal RNA". It matches the Rfam family "Bacterial small subunit ribosomal RNA", at positions 354 to 795 of the family's 1533-position model. The record is from RNAcentral.